Helianthus annuus (common sunflower) is the source of this 839-nucleotide long non-coding RNA. RefSeq lists it as uncharacterized. NCBI's taxonomy places the organism in Eukaryota, Viridiplantae, Streptophyta, Magnoliopsida, Asterales, Asteraceae. The record is from RefSeq and is a predicted model, not a curated record. The transcript is spliced from 3 exons.
UUGUAGGUCAUGUGCUUCAGAUUUCGUUAGUUCUAGAAACUGAUGUUGAAAAUUUGUAAUUUUGAGGUUUGUAUUGCUGAUUUCAAUAGUUUAGAAACUGGUGGCGUGUUUGUGCUGGUUCGACAAAGCCAGAAAGCGGGGGCGACGGCUAGGGUUUCGAUUAGUGCUCUCGGUCCGAUGUUCUUCACGAUAGAGAUCCACUCGAUAUGGGGAUAUACCAGCAGCAGCUACCGCGGAGGAUAUUAAUAUUGCUGUGAAAGCAGCACGCAGAGCUUUUAAAUGUGAUGAAGGAAAAGAAUGGGCAUCAGCUUCUGGGGCUCAUCGUGCAAAGUAUCUUCGUGCCAUUGCUGCAAAGGUUACUGAGAAAAAGGAUAAGUUCACUAAGCUUGAAGCCAUUGAUUGUGUAAAACCACUUGAUGAAGUAGCCCCAUCGUACAGCCAUAUAAUCCUAUAUUUUCCAGCCCUAAGCCACCGAUUGCACAUACCUUAGUUUUCUUUUACAUAUAGAUAAUUUUUUAACUAUUUAAAAAUGAAGGAGGGAGACUUUUAAUCACAUUGCUAGCUGGUUAGAGUGUGAUAUACUUAUCGCCUUUUGUGUUCAUUUAGUGCAAUGUGGGUCGCUUAGGUGGGUUGGGUAAUAGGUCAAGACUCAAAACGAUUCCAGAUUACCACCUUUAUUUGUGAUUUAGUUAUCUGAUAUUUCGCUUACAACGGAAUUGGGAAUAGAUAAAUCUAUCUUUAUUAAUCUGGUUGUGACUUGUGAGAUCUGAUUUGGUCCUGUUCAGCAGGUUGGGUAAUGGGUUCACGUUGAAACGGGUUAUAUUUCAGUAUGGGUAGAA